Long non-coding RNA from Bubalus bubalis (water buffalo), 508 nucleotides. RefSeq lists it as uncharacterized. The transcript has 4 exons. NCBI's taxonomy places the organism in Eukaryota, Metazoa, Chordata, Mammalia, Artiodactyla, Bovidae. The record is from RefSeq and is a predicted model, not a curated record.
GACCAGCUCUGACCAAGCACCACCCCCAAGGAGGCUGGCCUGCAGGGGCCACACCAGUCCAGCGGUCUCCUUCCGAGCCCUGGGACCGGCUAGUUGUUCAGGCUUGGCCAGCGUGGUUGGGCCGAGAGGACACGCAGUAACAGUGCCUAGAGCAGGAUGUUCUGGACAUGCAACGCAGAACACAUGAAGAUGCCUAGAGAGAAAAAUCUGUCCUUCCCACCACCUCCUCCGUUCUCAUGUGGUUCCGCUGCAGGACAGCAGAGUCUUAGGGAGCUUCAUGAUAUAAUCAUUAACAUACGGACUCAGGUGGCUUCUCCAGAGCAAGAUAAGCUAACAGACCCCCCAAGCCAUGGAAUGCCUGGCCAGAGAAGUCCAUCCAGGAGAAUCUGCCCAGUCCCGCCUGUUAAUUCCACUCCAGGAAAUCUGUUUCACAUCUCUUCCAAGUCUUGUCAAGUCAUCCUCCAAGGACUGUCUGACACUCCCGUUUAUGAGUUCUCAAAUGACCACG